This 283-nucleotide transfer RNA is filed under the name Streptococcus pneumoniae EU-NP03. Its description in RNAcentral is "partial 23S ribosomal RNA". The stretch from base 94 to 165 matches the Rfam family "tRNA". Lineage: Bacteria; Bacillati; Bacillota; Bacilli; Lactobacillales; Streptococcaceae. The record is from RNAcentral.
AAGCUGUUGUAAAAAAAAUGAAAAAAAUUAGAAAAAGUAGUUGACAAAGUUUGAAAAGACUGUAUAAUAGUAAGAGUUGAAAAUAACAACUCAGGUCCGUUGGUCAAGGGGUUAAGACACCGCCUUUUCACGGCGGUAACACGGGUUCGAAUCCCGUACGGACUAUGGUAUGUUGCGUCAGGACCACUUGAUGAAAAAAAGUUUAAAAAAACUUAAAAAUCUUCAAAAAAGUGUUGACAAGCGAAAGCAGUUGUGAUAUACUAAUAUAGUUGUCGCUUGAGAG